This 29-nucleotide non-coding RNA is filed under the name Mus musculus (house mouse). The record is from RNAcentral. Lineage: Eukaryota; Metazoa; Chordata; Mammalia; Rodentia; Muridae.
UAACCACUGAGCCAUCUCACCAGCCCAUU